RNAcentral lists this ribosomal RNA (317 nucleotides) under uncultured eukaryote. Its description in RNAcentral is "partial 18S ribosomal RNA". It matches the Rfam family "Eukaryotic small subunit ribosomal RNA", at positions 1470 to 1796 of the family's 1831-position model. The record is from RNAcentral.
CCCUUAGAUGCUCUGGGCUGCACGCGCGAUACAAUGGUGCAUUCAGUGAGCAUAUCCGAGCUUGAAAAGGCGCGGUAAUCUUCAAAGUGCAUCGUAGUUGGGAUAGAUGAUUGCAAUUGUUCAUCUUGAACAAGGAAUAUCUAGUAAACGCAAGUCAUCAACUUGCAUUGAUUACGUCCCUGCCGUUUGUACACACCGCCCGUCGCUCCUACCGAUUAAAUAAUCCGGUGAAUUGAGUGGAUUGGAACCUUCUUGCAAAAGAAGGAGCCAAGAAGCUCUGUGAACCUUAUUAUUUAGAGGAAGGAAAAGUCGUAACA